Arabis alpina (gray rockcress) is the source of this 87-nucleotide non-coding RNA. Lineage: Eukaryota; Viridiplantae; Streptophyta; Magnoliopsida; Brassicales; Brassicaceae. The record is from Rfam.
UAGCCGAUGAGGAUAAAACAAAUUAUCUUAGCGGAUUUCAGUGAGGUUUUUAAUCAAUGAUCUGAAUUGUUACACACACUGAGGCUU